GACGUAGGGCGCGAGCGUUGUCCGGAUUUAUUGGGCGUAAAGAGCUCGUAGGCGGCUUGUCGCGUCGACUGUGAAAUCCCGCGGCUCAACUGCGGGUCUGCAGUCGAUACGGGCAGGCUAGAGUUCGGUAGGGGAGACUGGAAUUCCUGGUGUAGCGGUGAAAUGCGCAGAUAUCAGGAGGAACACCGAUGGCGAAGGCAGGUCUCCUGGGCCGAUACUGACGCUGAGGAGCGAAAGCGUGGGGAGCGAACAGGAUUAGAAAC
RNAcentral lists this ribosomal RNA (263 nucleotides) under uncultured bacterium. RNAcentral describes it as "partial 16S ribosomal RNA". It matches the Rfam family "Bacterial small subunit ribosomal RNA", at positions 524 to 785 of the family's 1533-position model. The record is from RNAcentral.